RNAcentral lists this ribosomal RNA (209 nucleotides) under uncultured bacterium. RNAcentral describes it as "partial 16S ribosomal RNA". It matches the Rfam family "Bacterial small subunit ribosomal RNA", at positions 568 to 776 of the family's 1533-position model. The record is from RNAcentral.
UGCGUAGACGGUUUCGUAAGUCGGGUGUGAAAUCCCCGGGCUCAACCUGGGAAUUGCAUUUGAAACUGCGAGGCUAGGGUACGGAAGAGGGAAGCGGAAUUUCUGGUGUAGCGGUGAAAUGCGUAGAUAUCAGAAGGAACAUCAGUGGCGAAAGCGGCUUCCUGGUCCAGUACCGACGUUCAGGCACGAAAGCGUGGGGAGGCAAAACA